GACGAACGCUGGCGGCGUGCCUAACACAUGCAAGUCGAACGGAAAGUUAGCAAUAACUUUUAGUGGCGAACGGGUGAGUAACGCGUGGGCAACCUGCCCUUCAGACGGGGACAACAUUCCGAAAGGAGUGCUAAUACCGGAUACGACCUUUGAACCGCAUGGUUUAAAGAAGAAAGGUGGCCUCUAUUUAUAAGCUACCGCUGAAGGAUGGGCCUGCGUCUGAUUAGCUAGUUGGUGGGGUAAAGGCCUACCAAGGCGACGAUCAGUAGCCGGGAGGAGACAACGAACGACCAGACUGGGACGGAGACACGGCCCAGACUCCUACGGGAGGCAGAAGUGGGGAAUCAUCCGCAAUGGGCGAAAGCCUGACGGAGCAACGCCGCGUGAGUGAAGAAGGUCUUCGGGUCGUAAAACUCUGUUAUAAGAGAAGAACAAAUUGUAGAGUAACUGCUACAGUCUUGACGGUAUCUUAUCAGAAAGCCACGGCUAACUACGUGCCAGCAGCCGCAGUAA
RNAcentral lists this ribosomal RNA (513 nucleotides) under uncultured bacterium. RNAcentral's name for it is "partial 16S ribosomal RNA". It matches the Rfam family "Bacterial small subunit ribosomal RNA", at positions 28 to 523 of the family's 1533-position model. The record is from RNAcentral.